UACAGAGGAGCCAAGCGUUGUCCGGAUUGACUGGGCGUAAAGCGCACGCAGGCGGACGCGCGCGUGGGGUGUGAAAUCUGGCCGCUUAACGGCCAGGCGCCAUCCCAUACGGCGUGUCUGGAGGGCUGCAGAGGUCGAUGGAAUUGCCGGUGUAGUGGUGAAAUGCGUAGAGAUCGGGGGGAACACCAGUGGCGAAGGCGACUUCCUGGCCUGUUCUUGACGCUGAGGCGCGAAAGCUAGGGUAGCAAACGGG
This 253-nucleotide ribosomal RNA is filed under the name uncultured bacterium. RNAcentral's name for it is "partial 16S ribosomal RNA". It matches the Rfam family "Bacterial small subunit ribosomal RNA", at positions 524 to 776 of the family's 1533-position model. The record is from RNAcentral.